GAAAUUCUUGAAUCAAAUUUCUUACUUUUUCUGUUAAUUUCUGGUUCUUUCUUCUAUUUUUCUUCUUAGUUCCUGAAAUUCUUGAAAAUUUUCCCCGUAUUCUUGAAGUUCUUCUUCCUAUUUUCUUGAUUUCCCCCCAAAAAUUUCCUUUCCCUAAGUUCCUAUUCUGCUUUCCAAGAAUAAGAUUUCUACCCUUUCUUGAUUUUCUUUGCUUCUUUAAGUUCUUCACGUGUGGGCUUUGCUUCCAAUUCAUUCCACUGGUGUCGCAAGAUGACUAGAAGUGUGGUGGUGAAUCAAGAAGCUGUUAGGGUUGCGGAACUUGAAGAGCAAGUCCGGAAUUUGCAGUCAGUUGUGCAGAGGAAUACUAAAGAUCUGAAUGUGUUGAAAGAUGAAAUGAAAAAAUCCAAUAACGAAGGCAGUGAGUUUAGGGAGGAGGUGCGAGCCUUUAUGAGCAUUGUAUUGAAAGGAAUGAAAGGAAAAGGAAAAGAAGGUUGUCAUAGAAGUGAGAAGGUUUUUGGAAUGGGGAAUGGAGUCUCAGAAAACAGGGUUCUUGAGAACAGGGAACUGUUACCCAAUCCAAAUUUGGGUUCUGUGUCUCAAUUGAAAGAUCAAGGUAACUCUGAAAGCACUUCUAAUGCUGAUGAUGUUAAAUCUAUGUUGCCUAAGAUAGAGUUAGUUACCUUUGAGAGCAAAAAGCCUAGGGCAUGGCUCAGAAAAUGUGUCAAGUAUUUUGAGGUUUAUAAAGUGCCUUUGGAUCAAAGAGUGGGGAUAGCAAUUCUGUUUUUAUUGGAUAGGGCUGAUGCUUGGUUCCAUAAUUGGGACAAGAGGAAGGUCCAUUCUUGGGAAGAAUUUGAGGAGGAGAUUUGUAAUAGGCUUGGUGAUGAGGGAAUGGAGGAUAUGGUUGAGGAAUCCAUGAAAUUAAGGCAAGAAAACACUGUAGAGGAAUAUCAGGAUGUCUUUGAAGACCUGAGAAUUAGAAUGGAGAGACUCAUGCCUGAAUUAGGAAAGAUUUAUUUCUUGUCUGGAUUUAUUGAAGGGUUAAAAGAUGAAAUUAGGCUUAUGGUAAGGAUGAUGAGACCUGCCACUUCGUCUCAUGCAUUUGAAGUUGCUAGAUUUCAGGAGCAGCUCCUUGGAAGUAGUGGAGGAGUUGAUUACAACCCUAAACCAGUUUGUAAUACCUUCAGCCCCUUCGCAACAAAUACUGGUCCUAAUCCUCCAGCUAUGCCAUACGAAAUUUCACAGUUGCAUUAGAAUUUUCCCCAUUGUCCAAAGCCAACAAACACUAAUGCCACUGCAACUUUGAAAUUCCAAAAAACAAUCAGCAAAACCAUUCCAUCCAGGUGUAGUCAGUCUUCAUCUAACCAAUCUGCAAUGAAAAUACCACCACAACACAAUUCAGCUGGCUUA
RNAcentral lists this unclassified non-coding RNA (1407 nucleotides) under Hevea brasiliensis (rubber tree). The record is from RNAcentral. Lineage: Eukaryota; Viridiplantae; Streptophyta; Magnoliopsida; Malpighiales; Euphorbiaceae.